CACAAGUGUAGAGAGAUCUAUGUCAAUGCGCAUGACAAAAGAAGAUGCUAUGGUUACAAGUGUCAUUGUCUCCUUGACCAAAAUAAAUUAGGCAAUCAUCCUUGCCUUAUAUGUCAAUAAAAGCUUAUCCGCAUCGGAUAUUUAGAUUGAAUCGAUAUAUGCGUGGCGUGUGUUUGAUUAUAGAGUUAUUUUACUCAACAAUAAUAAGUAACAUUUUUCAGUAAAAGUGAGCCUUCCUCAAUUUAUUCAUGGAGCAGCUUCUAUCCAUCCUAUGCAAUAUCUUUCUUUUCAGAGUAUGUAUCUCAAACUAUGUAUUUAAUUUGAUCUAUCUCAAAUGCUACUUGACGGAUGUAUUUGAGUUUAGGUUGCGUUAUCAGGCAUCA
Long non-coding RNA from Lycium ferocissimum, 383 nucleotides. RefSeq lists it as uncharacterized. The transcript is spliced from 2 exons. Lineage: Eukaryota; Viridiplantae; Streptophyta; Magnoliopsida; Solanales; Solanaceae. The record is from RefSeq and is a predicted model, not a curated record.